This 499-nucleotide ribosomal RNA is filed under the name uncultured Actinomycetes bacterium. Its description in RNAcentral is "bacterial SSU rRNA". It matches the Rfam family "Bacterial small subunit ribosomal RNA", at positions 8 to 522 of the family's 1533-position model. The record is from RNAcentral. Lineage: Bacteria; Bacillati; Actinomycetota; Actinomycetes.
AGAGUUUGAUCAUGGCUCAGGACGAACGCUGGCGGCGUGCUUAACACAUGCAAGUCGAACGGAAAGGCCCUUCGGGGUACUCGAGUGGCGAACGGGUGAGUAACACGUGGGUGAUCUGCCCUGCACUUCGGGAUAAGCCUGGGAAACUGGGUCUAAUACCGGAUAGGACUACGAAUCGCAUGGUUUGUGGUGGAAAGCUUUUGCGGUGUGGGAUGGGCCCGCGGCCUAUCAGCUUGUUGGUGGGGUGAUGGCCCACCAAGGCGACGACGGGUAGCCGGCCUGAGAGGGUGUCCGGCCACACUGGGACUGAGAUACGGCCCAGACUCCUACGGGAGGCAGCAGUGGGGAAUAUUGCACAAUGGGCGCAAGCCUGAUGCAGCGACGCCGCGUGAGGGAUGACGGCCUUCGGGUUGUAAACCUCUUUCAGUAUCGACGAAGCCUUUUCGGUGACGGUAGGUACAGAAGAAGCACGGCCAACUACGUGCCAGCAGCCGCGGUA